GAGGGUAUAGCUCAGUGGUAGAGCACAAGCUUAGUAUGCACAAGGUCCUGGGUUCAAUCCCCAGUACCUCCA
This 72-nucleotide transfer RNA is filed under the name Camelus bactrianus (Bactrian camel). It matches the Rfam family "tRNA". From Rfam's summary of the family: Transfer RNA (tRNA) molecules are approximately 80 nucleotides in length. Their secondary structure includes four short double-helical elements and three loops (D, anti-codon, and T loops). Further hydrogen bonds mediate the characteristic L-shaped molecular structure. tRNAs have two regions of fundamental functional importance: the anti-codon, which is responsible for specific mRNA codon recognition, and the 3' end, to which the tRNAs corresponding amino acid is attached (by aminoacyl-tRNA synthetases). tRNAs cope with the degeneracy of the genetic code in two manners: having more than one tRNA (with a specific anti-codon) for a particular amino acid; and 'wobble' base-pairing, i.e. permitting non-standard base-pairing at the 3rd anti-codon position. RNAcentral also lists the same sequence under 2 other names. Lineage: Eukaryota; Metazoa; Chordata; Mammalia; Artiodactyla; Camelidae. The record is from Rfam by way of RNAcentral.